UACGUAGGGUGCAAGCGUUGUCCGGAAUUAUUGGGCGUAAAGAGCUUGUAGGCGGUUUGUCGCGUCUGCUGUGAAAUUUCGGGGCUCAACCCCGAACUUGCAGUGGGUACGGGCAGACUAGAGUGUGGUAGGGGAGACUGGAAUUCCUGGUGUAGCGGUGAAAUGCGCAGAUAUCAGGAGGAACACCGAUGGCGAAGGCGGCCGCCUGGGCCAGUCCUGACGCUGAGCCGCGAAAGCGUGGGGAGCGAUCCGG
This 253-nucleotide ribosomal RNA is filed under the name uncultured bacterium. RNAcentral describes it as "partial 16S ribosomal RNA". It matches the Rfam family "Bacterial small subunit ribosomal RNA", at positions 524 to 776 of the family's 1533-position model. The record is from RNAcentral.